This 399-nucleotide ribosomal RNA is filed under the name uncultured Staphylococcus sp. Its description in RNAcentral is "bacterial SSU rRNA". It matches the Rfam family "Bacterial small subunit ribosomal RNA", at positions 975 to 1373 of the family's 1533-position model. Lineage: Bacteria; Bacillati; Bacillota; Bacilli; Caryophanales; Staphylococcaceae. The record is from RNAcentral.
CAAAUCUUGACAUCCUUUGAUCGCUCUAGAGAUAGAGUCUUCCCCUUCGGGGGACAAAGUGACAGGUGGUGCAUGGUUGUCGUCAGCUCGUGUCGUGAGAUGUUGGGUUAAGUCCCGCAACGAGCGCAACCCUUAAGCUUAGUUGCCAUCAUUAAGUUGGGCACUCUAGGUUGACUGCCGGUGACAAACCGGAGGAAGGUGGGGAUGACGUCAAAUCAUCAUGCCCCUUAUGAUUUGGGCUACACACGUGCUACAAUGGAUAAUACAAAGGGCAGCGAAUCCGCGAGGCCAAGCAAAUCCCAUAAAAUUAUUCUCAGUUCGGAUUGUAGUCUGCAACUCGACUACAUGAAGCUGGAAUCGCUAGUAAUCGUAGAUCAGCAUGCUACGGUGAAUACGUUC